Molecule: long non-coding RNA, 243 nt
Filed under: Gossypium barbadense (sea-island cotton)
Lineage: Eukaryota; Viridiplantae; Streptophyta; Magnoliopsida; Malvales; Malvaceae
Description: long non-coding RNA (GBAR_LNC005510)
Source: RNAcentral
UUUUACUAAAGGUACUACUUUGUUAUGUUGUUCUUUCAUUUCCUAAGCUUAAAUAUUAACUGGUUCUUCUAAAUAAGACAAGUCAGACUGUAAUUCUACCUUGUCGGGAGUAAUCAUAGGGAAUGAUCUGAUCUAUAUCGUCGAAGCAUUGAAACAUGAAAAACAUUGUGAAUCUUUUCAAGUUCCAAAGGCAAUGCUAGUUUGUAAGCCACUGGACCAAUUCUUUUGGUAAUUUCAUACAAC